UCAAACCCCAAGAGCAGCGAAGAGAAAUACCUUUCCUUCAGUUCUUCUCCCUCGGUCCCCAGAUACUUCUAUGUUCAUUUGGCCUGGUUGCAAAUGGCCUUCGCCGUCUGAGGUCAGCCCCUCCAUGGCCUGCUCCUCCACUCCGCACUAAAUGCUGCGUCUAUCCUUCGGGUGAUUCCGUCACACACAGAAUCUUGAAGAUGCCAGAAACUUUCUGCACACUGGCCCCAAACGUCUCUUAAUCAGGCAUUCCUUUGGCUGACAGAUGUCAAAACGGUGCCCCACGUCCAAGUUAUCGGGGAUCAUGUUGACGCCCACCUGGACUGGGUUUCGGGUUCACUCAUCCCGGUUCCGCCACGGAGGCCUUCGAAGAGAGCAUGUACAGGCCUCUUGAUUCCCAGGGCGUACUCAUCAUCAGUUAUCCCGGCCGCCGCAAGCCUGGCAACUGCAAGACCUCGGUCCUCAAAGCAAAGGGGCGGUGACCGCUCUGAGCAAGGAUCUCGCGAGACUUUGGCAGAUCUGUUGGGAGGCUACGCUCUCUCAGAUCUCGCGAGACUUGAAUCAAAAUGUACGGUAUUACAGAUUUGUGAGACAGCAAAACUCUAAACUUUUAAAAACCCUAUUAAUAACAUACAUUAUAGCUGCGUAACGUUGUGCAGCUAUUUAAGUUUGAGGUCGAUCUGUGUAUGUGAAUAUGAAAAUGUUGGAUGUAAAAAAGGGAAAACCGUAUGUGUAAAUUAAUCCUUUACAAGCGAGAGUAAACUGCAUGACCCAGGAUUAUAUGUAGAAAUUAUUAAUGUUGCAACUGGAGUUAAAAUGUUAGGAUAGCAUUUUUUGAUUUAAUAUGCAUCUAUAGCAUUGAAUUAAAAACGUCUUGGGUUUGGUAACUUG
This 891-nucleotide long non-coding RNA is filed under the name Rattus norvegicus (Norway rat). Its description in RNAcentral is "long non-coding RNA NONRATT019226". The record is from RNAcentral. Lineage: Eukaryota; Metazoa; Chordata; Mammalia; Rodentia; Muridae.